Molecule: ribosomal RNA, 253 nt
Filed under: uncultured bacterium
Lineage: Bacteria
Description: partial 16S ribosomal RNA
Rfam family: Bacterial small subunit ribosomal RNA
Source: RNAcentral
UACGUAGGGUGCAAGCGUUGUUCGGAAUCACUGGGCGUAAAGGGCGCGUAGGCGGCCGAUCAAGUCGGGGGUGAAAGCCUGUGGCUCAACCACAGAAUUGCCUUCGAUACUGUUUGGCUUGAGACCGGAAGAGGUAAGUGGAACUGCGAGUGUAGAGGUGAAAUUCGUAGAUAUUCGCAAGAACACCAGUGGCGAAGGCGGCUUACCGGUCCAGUUCUGACGCUGAGGCGCGAAAGCGUGGGGAGCAAACAGG